This 121-nucleotide small nuclear RNA is filed under the name Panthera leo (lion). RNAcentral describes it as "U2 spliceosomal RNA (ENSPLOG00000020103.1)". It matches the Rfam family "U2 spliceosomal RNA". Rfam says of the family: U2 is a small nuclear RNA (snRNA) component of the spliceosome (involved in pre-mRNA splicing). Complementary binding between U2 snRNA (in an area lying towards the 5' end but 3' to hairpin I) and the branchpoint sequence (BPS) of the intron results the bulging out of an unpaired adenosine, on the BPS, which initiates a nucleophilic attack at the intronic 5' splice site, thus starting the first of two transesterification reactions that mediate splicing. Lineage: Eukaryota; Metazoa; Chordata; Mammalia; Carnivora; Felidae. The record is from Rfam by way of RNAcentral.
AUCGCUUCUCGGCCUUUUGGCUAAGAUCAAGUGUAGGAAUAUUAAGGCUUAUUGCCUAAUAAAAACUACUCCCAUUUAUAAAAUGAAAAAUUAUAUUUCUAGUAUUUUUUAUUUACCCCCU